RNAcentral lists this ribosomal RNA (429 nucleotides) under bacterium. RNAcentral's name for it is "partial 16S ribosomal RNA". It matches the Rfam family "Bacterial small subunit ribosomal RNA", at positions 355 to 776 of the family's 1533-position model. The record is from RNAcentral.
UAGGGAAUCUUCCACAAUGGACGCAAGUCUGAUGGAGCAACGCCGCGUGAGUGAAGAAGGUUUUCGGAUCGUAAAGCUCUGUUGUUGGUGAAGAAGGAUAGAGGUAGUAACUGGCCUUUAUUUGACGGUAAUCAACCAGAAAGUCACGGCUAACUACGUGCCAGCAGCCGCGGUAAUACGUAGGUGGCAAGCGUUGUCCGGAUUUAUUGGGCGUAAAGCGAGCGCAGGCGGAAGAAUAAGUCUGAUGUGAAAGCCCUCGGCUUAACCGGGGAACUGCAUCGGAAACUGUUUUUCUUGAGUGCAGAAGAGGAGAGUGGAAUUCCAUGUGUAGCGGUGGAAUGCGUAGAUAUAUGGAAGAACACCAGUGGCGAAGGCGACUCUCUGGUCUGCAACUGACGCUGAGGCUCGAAAGCAUGGGUAGCGAACAGG